RNAcentral lists this ribosomal RNA (253 nucleotides) under uncultured bacterium. Its description in RNAcentral is "partial 16S ribosomal RNA". It matches the Rfam family "Bacterial small subunit ribosomal RNA", at positions 524 to 776 of the family's 1533-position model. The record is from RNAcentral.
UACGUAGGGGGCAAGCGUUGUCCGGAUUUACUGGGCGUAAAGAGCGUGUAGGCGGCCAUGUAGGUCCGUUGUGAAAACUCGAGGCUCAACCUCGAGACGCCGAUGGAAACCAUGUGGCUAGAGUCCGGAAGAGGAGAGUGGAAUUCCUGGUGUAGCGGUGAAAUGCGCAGAUAUCAGGAAGAACACCCGUGGCUAAGGCGGCUCUCUAGUACGGUACUGACGCUGAGGCGCGAAAGCGUGGGGAGCGAACAGG